GGGGACAUAAUCAAAACACAAAUCAUCUAUGGGUAACCCUGCUGACCCGCACCCAACCCCGGAUGAGGCGUACGAAAAACUCUAGGAGCCCCUAUCCUACAACCCUGAUUCUAGACCUCCAGACUUUCCUUAAGGGUCAUGUCCUCGGAAACCUGCAGUCUAGUCAUGUCCUGCCUAAUCACCUCUCCCCAAUACUUCUUAGGCCUCCCUCUGCCUCGCCGACCGCCAACAAUCUCCAGCCGCUCGCAGCUCCUCACNNN
RNAcentral lists this long non-coding RNA (260 nucleotides) under Nicotiana benthamiana. RNAcentral describes it as "long non-coding RNA (NBEN_LNC019094)". Lineage: Eukaryota; Viridiplantae; Streptophyta; Magnoliopsida; Solanales; Solanaceae. The record is from RNAcentral.